AUGCAAAAUCAUGGCAUGAAACAGCAUGCCCAUCUGGCCUUAGCUGUGCUGUAUUUUAAUGCUGUCCAAGGUAUCAACACUACUACACUUCCAAACAGCGAUUCAGAAAAGAGGAUUCGAUCUGCAAAAAACAAGAGACUGGCUGAGGCACUCAACACUUCCGGGUUUUAUAGUCCCUUCGGAAGGGGCGUGGCCUUCAGCCUAGGCAGUACACAAGUGUCGCCACGUGUUGGCGGAAGCUGGGAAGCCCCGAAGACCGGUGAGUUGAGGGAGGAGCAGCUGUUGACGAUGGAUGUGAGGAGAAGGACUGGUAGGAGAGGGACUUGGUUAUUACCUCCAGCAACUUCAAAGUCGGCUGCAGGAGGUGCCCCGGGAUACAGGGGCGGAUGGACGGCAGAGGAGAAGGACGCUUGGUCACAGGACUGCAGGCUUCUUGGAUCGCGGGCGAACCAGGACUUCUAACAUGUGGCCUGGACUUUGGACUGUUUGUGUUUUCUGUUUUUUUAAAUAUUUUAACCAGCGGCAAAACUGCGGUAACUGUGCAUUUGUGGUUGUGCAAAUGAAUUGUGCAUACGUAAGAAUAAAGAACCAUUGAAAAUUGCAAUCAUGAAAUAACACCUUCUCAUUAGCAUCCUGCCAAGAGAUCAGUCUCGUGGAGGCAAAUUACAAUUGUCCUAACUUCUCAAGUUUCAUUAAAACCAAAAUAUCUAAAAGAGCAGCAAUAAUUAAUGCACAGAAUGGGAAUUUCCUUCCAACAUUUUAAGUACAAUGCAAAAUCCUUCUGGCAUCAGGGCUGUUGCACUUUGGAACUCCAUCUGGCAAAUAAAAAAAACAAUAUCUGCAAAAAAGAAAUGGUCACAAAAUAAAUCUUAUGCCACAGUUUUGGAAGGUUCCAUUAGCUUAUAGUGUACUUGUAUAUUUCUUCCUUCAAUGACAAUGAUGCUAUGCGCUUGGAUGUUACCAUAAGAAUGUAUUUGUUCCCGCUUCAUAGAUUCGGAUCCAUUAUAAAUUAUAGUAGAAUUAAGCCAUUCAGCCCAUCGAGUCCACUCCGCCAUUCAAUCAUGGCUGAUCUCUGCCUCCUAAUCCCAUUUUCCUGCCUUCUCCUCGUAACCCUUGAUACCCGUUAGUUCGUUGUACAAACCUUCACUUACUCUCAACCACUACGAUUUCAUCGGAAAAACAACUUGCAACAACAAAUGUAAUGUAUGUGUUGUGCUCUUCCCCCGAUGCACUUCGCUGUGGUCUCAACCACCUCUGCACCAUGUCACUUGUGCAGCAAGCACACACUUCAAAUUAUGCCAUUUAAUAAUGCUUAGCGUAAAUUUCUGCUGAUAAGCUUCACAAUAAUCAAUGCAUCCUUGAGAGGGGACGACUGGGAUUUCUAAUGAUCCAGUAGCAAAGGAUUCUCUCUCAAAAAAAAGGGAAUUGUUAGUAUGAAAAUUGUAAACCAGUAAAUUUCUACCUCAAAUAAUGCUCCCGAUCUGCUUGAAGUUAUCCCAAACUAUGCAAUUGGGGUCGCCAUUGGUCAGGCAUUGGCUGAGCAGCUGAUUCAAAAUUUAGCAGUGGGGGCAAGAGGGAUUAUCAGUUUUCCAAAUCUAGCUUCUUCUAUGAUUAUUAAAAAUUCAAUCUAUGUUCAAAUCAAACAAAGGCCUUACCCAGGGUUAUCUACGACUUGACCUUCAGAACCACAACUCUGCUUUGACUGCUAUUUCGCGCUCCCCAAAGCAUGGACAAAUCAGAAGACCAUAAGACAUAGGAGCAGAAUUAGGCCAUUCAGCCCAACGAGUCUGUUAUGCUAUUCAAUCAUGGCUGAACGUUUUUACCUCUCAACCUGAUUCUCAAGAAAUACACCUGGCCUAGGAUAAUUGAGUGGAUUCCCUCCUUCACACAUGCAUAACAUGGCUCAUGUAAACUGAGAACUUCUUGCAAAGGCCUGGGUGAAAAAAUAAAUAUUAACCAUUUUUAGUUUAGUUUAUGGAUACAGCGCGAGAACAGGCCCUUUGGCCCAACAAAUCCGCGCCGACCAGCGAUCCCCACACGCUAACAUAUCCUGGACAUACUAGAGACAAUUUACAAUCAUACCAAGCCAAUUAACCUACAGACUGUACAUCUUUGGAGUGUGGGAGGAAACCAGAGAAAACCACGCAGGUCGCGGGGAGAACGUACAAACUCUGUACAGACAGUACCCAUAUUCAAGAUCGGACCCGGGUCUCUGGCGGCGUAAGUAUAUUAAUUGUUCCAUUAUAAGUUGCAGAUGCAGGUGUGCAGAGCAGUCUUAUAGGAACUUUUUUUUGAAUGCUCAUCAUAAAUGACUCUUUUGUGAGCAGCUGUAUUUCAGUGACCUUUUGAUACUGAACUGUUUCCACGGCUGUUCAGCACAUUACGUCACUACUUCAGGAAGGAACUUGUCGAUCUUAGAUGUGCAGACACAGGUGGUGCACAAUAGCACACAUAUAGCCCUUUGCAGCUUGACUAUGCUCUCAGAAUUCAGAGAUAUCAUUGACUAAAACCCAUGUCGUAUGAAUCCAAAAAGCACCAGCGGUUUUCCCAAAAAGACACAACUUUUCAGAGAAAACCCCCCACAAAUUUAUAGUUUCUGUAAAAAGGAUUUUUUUUUUGCUGUUUCAUGCUCACAAUUGUGAUUUUCAAUUCAAAACUCUUUCCAGGAAAGGUUGAAAACUAAACUGGAAGGACAUUUUUGUAGAAAUUCAACAUAAUUUAAAACAGGAUAAAGCUACUUAAUCUAGUUCAAGUUCAAGUGAGUUUAUUGUCAUGUGGCCCUGUAUAGGACAAUGAAAUUCUUGCUUUGUUUAAGCACACAGAAAAUAGUAGGCAUUUACUACAAAACAGAUAAAUGUGUCCAUAUACCAUGAUAUAAAUAUAUACACACAUGAAUAAAUAAAAGUGCAAAUAGCAGAAAGUGGUUAUUAAUAAUCAGAGUUUUGUCCGAGCCAGGUUUAAUAGCCUGAUGGCUGUGGGGAAGUAGCUAUUCCUGAACCUGGUUGUUGCAGUCUUCAGGCUCCUGUACCUUCUACCUGAAGGUAGCAGGGAAAUGAGUGUGUGGCCAGGAUGGUGUGGGUCUUUGAUGAUACUGCCAGCCUUUUUGAGGCAGUGACUGUGAUAAAUCCCCUCGAUAAAAGGAAGGUGAGAGCCGAUGAUGGUGUGGGCAGUGUUUACUACUUUUUGUAGUCUUUUCCUCUCCAGGGCGCUCAAAUUGCCGAACCAAGCCACGAUGCAACCUGUCAGCAUGCUCUCUACUGUGCAACUGUAGAAGUUAGAGAGAGUCUUCCUUGACAAACCGACUCUCCGUAAUCUUCUCAGGAAGUAGAGGCGCUGAUGAGCUUUUUUGAUAGUUGCGUUAGUGUUCUCAAACCAGGAAAGAUCUUCAGAGAUGUGCAUGCCCAGGAAUUUGAAGCUCUUGACCCUUUCAACCAUUAAAUGGGGCUGUGGGUCCCCCUCCUACUCCUUCCAAAGUCCACAAUCAGUUCAUUGGUUUUGCUGGUGUUGAGGGCCAGGUUAUUGCACUGGCACCAUAUGGACAGUUGCUCAAUCUCCCUUCUAUAUUCUGACUCAUCCCCAUCAGUGAUACGCCCCACAAUAGUGGUGUCGUCAGCGAACUUGAUGAUGGAGUUCGCACUGUGGUUGGCUACGCAGUCAUGGGUAUAGAGUGAGUACAGCAGGGGGCUGAGCACGCAGCCUUGAGGUGCUCCCGUGCUGAUUGUUAUCGAGGCUGACACAUUUCCACCAAUACGAACAGACUGUGGUCUGUGGAUGAGGAAGUCGAGGAUCCAGUUGCAGAGGGAUAUGCAGAGACCCAGUUCUGCGAGUUUGGUAACCAGUUUGGAGGGGAUGAUUGUGUUGAAUGCCGAGCUGUAAUCGAUGAAUAACAGCCUGACAUAUGAGUUUUUGUUGUCCAAGUGGUCCAGUGCGGAGUGGAGGGCCAGCGAGAUCGCAUCCACUGUUGAUCUGUUGUGGCGGUAAGCGAACUGCAGUGGGUCCAGGUUUUUGUCGAGGUAGGAGUUGAUUUGCUCCAUGAUCAGCCUCUCAAAGCACUUCAUCACCACCAGUGUUAGUGCCACUGGUCGAUAGUCAUUGAGGCACGUCACCUUACUCUUCUUGGGCACGGGUAUAAUUGAUGAUAGGCAUGAUCAACCCCAAAGAGAUGUGCAAACAGUGUGAUUUAGAAGAUUGGAACUGUAAAGAUUUAUUUUCAAAAAAUAUUUCACCAAAUUGGAUUCCAAAUAUUUGCUAUACCCUUCGCUCCAUUAGAGAAUGAUGUUGUCAAACUGAAGAGGGUACAGAAAAGAUUUACAAGAAUGUCGGCUGGGCUAGAGGGUCUGAGCUACAGGGAGAGGUUGAGUAGGCUGGGACUCUAUUCCUUGGAGCGCAGGAGGAUGAAGGGUGAUCUUAUUGAGAUGUAUAAAAUCAUAAGAGAAAUAAAUUGGGAAGAUGCACAGAGUCUCUUGCCCAGAGUAGGUGAAUCGAGGACCAGGUUUAAGGUGACGGGGAAAAGAUUUAAUACGAAUCUGAGGGGUAACAUUUUCACACAAAGGGUGCUGGAGGAGGUUGAGGCAGGGUCUAUCCCAACAUUUAAGAAACAGUUGGACAGGUACAUGGAUAGGACAGGUUUGGAGGGAUAUGGACCAAACGCGGGCUGUUGGGACUAGUGUAACUGUGACAUGUUGGCCAGUGUGGGCAAGUUAGGCUGAAGGGCCUGUUUCUACACUGUAUCACUAUAUGACACUAUGACAGAAAGCUCAUAGAAGCUUUGGAGACGGUGCAGAAGAUGUUAACCAGAAUGUUGCCUGGAUUAGAGGAUAUUAGCUAUAAGCAAAGGUUGGAAAAACUCAGAUAGUUUUGUCUGGAGCAUCAGAGACUGAGGAGAGACCCAACAGAACUAUAUACAAAUUGUGAGAGACAUACAUAGGGUAGAGUCAAAACUGUUAUUCCAGGGUGGAAAUGUCAAGGACUAGAGGGCAUAGCUUUAAGAUGAGUGGGACAAUGUUUAAAGGAGAUGUGUGAGGCAAGAUUUUCUUUUUACAUUGAGAAUGGUGGAUGCCUGAAAUGCGUUGCCAAGGAUGGUGGUAUUGGCAGACAUGAUAGUGGCAUUUAAGAGACUUUUACAUAGAUAAAUAGAUUUCUAGGGAAUGGAGGGGUAUUGGACCACAUGCAGGCAGAGGAGAUUAGUCUAACCUGGCAUCAUGUCUGGUGUAAGUAUUCGAUGUUUUGUAUUCUAUAUUCACAGCUGGCUGCAAACUAAAUUCAAUGAUCACAGCCAGAGCAAGGGCGAUAGAAAGAAAAAGCCCAAUUGUUUGUACAUUGCCCAGAUGUCUAUGCAAUGACAUUUUGAGCAUGCAUAAAGGAAAGAAGAAGGAAAUAAAUGCAAUAAACAAGGGACAGGGCAGAGAAGGUGGCAGAGUUAUAUUUGCUGGGAUGUGGUUUCACUGAGUGCAGGUCCUGUUAAAAGUAGGGCAAUCACAAUUUUAAUGCUGCUUUCAGGAAGGUAUAAAUCCUCAAAAGAUACACAUGGGGUUCCCUCCUGCUAUCCAAAGUUGAUCCGGAGUUUGGAGAGGAAUGGGUAAAGAAAUUGUUCUCUGGGGAAGAUGAGAAGCUUCUGCCUACCAAUACUCACAAACAUUUACCUAAACAUUCCAGGAAAUGCACCAGCAAACAAGCAUAUGUAAGAGCCAAUC
Molecule: long non-coding RNA, 5693 nt
Organism: Leucoraja erinaceus (little skate)
Lineage: Eukaryota; Metazoa; Chordata; Chondrichthyes; Rajiformes; Rajidae
Exons: 3
Source: RefSeq, a predicted model, not a curated record